GCGGUGGCUCCAAAGUGCUGUUCGUGCAGGUAGUGUGUGCAGCCAUCUACUGCCGGGCAGCACUUCCCGAGCCCCCGC
Molecule: microRNA precursor, 78 nt
Filed under: Alligator mississippiensis (American alligator)
Lineage: Eukaryota; Metazoa; Chordata; Crocodylia; Alligatoridae
Also listed under: 1 other name
Description: mir-17 microRNA precursor family
Rfam family: mir-17 microRNA precursor family
About the family: This family represents the microRNA (miRNA) precursor mir-17, family, which includes mir-20, mir-91, and mir-103. miRNAs are transcribed as ~70nt precursors (modelled here) and subsequently processed by the Dicer enzyme to give a ~22nt product.
Source: Rfam by way of RNAcentral